This 465-nucleotide ribosomal RNA is filed under the name uncultured bacterium. Its description in RNAcentral is "partial 16S ribosomal RNA". It matches the Rfam family "Bacterial small subunit ribosomal RNA", at positions 339 to 795 of the family's 1533-position model. The record is from RNAcentral.
CUACGGGUCGCUGCAGUGAGGAAUUUUGCGCAAUGGGGGAAACCCUGACGCAGCAACGCCGCGUGAGUGAUGAAGGCCUUCGGGUCGUAAAGCUCUGUCAAGUGGGAAGAACCUAUCGAUAUUGAAAAUAUAUUGAUACUGACGGUACCACAAGAGGAAGCACCGGCUAACUCCGUGCCAGCAGCCGCGGUAAUACGGGGGGUGCAAGCGUUAUUCGGAAUCAUUGGGCGUAAAGGGCGCGCAGGCGGCCUUGUAAGUCAGAUGUGAAAGCCCGGGGCUCAACCCCGGAAGUGCAUUUGAAACUAUGAGGCUUGAGUAUGGGAGAGGGAAGUGGAAUUCCUGGUGUAGCGGUGAAAUGCGUAGAUAUCAGGAGGAACACCGGUGGCGAAGGCGACUUCCUGGACCAAUACUGACGCUGAGGCGCGAAGGCGUGGGGAGCAAACAGGAUUAGAUACCCGUGUAGUC